AACGAACGCUGGCGGCAGGCCUAACACAUGCAAGUCGAGCGAACCCUUCGGGGUUAGCGGCGGACGGGUUAGUAACGCGUGGGAAUAUACCCUUUGGUACGGAAUAGCCUCGGGAAACUGAGAGUAAUACCGGUAUGUGCCCUUCGGGGGAAAGAUUUAUCGCCAAAGGAUUAGCCCGCGUUGGAUUAGAUAGUUGGUGGGGUAAUGGCCUACCAAGUCUACGAUCCAUAGCUGGUUUGAGAGGAUGAUCAGCAACACUGGGACUGAGACACGGCCCAGACUCCUACGGGAGGCAGCAGUGGGGAAUAUUCCGCAAUGGGGGAAACCCUGACGGAGCGACACCGCGUGGAGGAUGACGACUUUUUAGUUGUAAACUCCUGUCCUGAGGGAAGAAAUUUUUGACUGUACCUCAGAAGAAAGCACCGGCUAAUUCUGUG
Molecule: ribosomal RNA, 437 nt
Filed under: uncultured bacterium
Lineage: Bacteria
Description: bacterial SSU rRNA
Rfam family: Bacterial small subunit ribosomal RNA
Source: RNAcentral